RNAcentral lists this long non-coding RNA (214 nucleotides) under Elaeis guineensis (African oil palm). Its description in RNAcentral is "long non-coding RNA (EGUI_LNC025665)". The record is from RNAcentral. Lineage: Eukaryota; Viridiplantae; Streptophyta; Magnoliopsida; Arecales; Arecaceae.
AGUAGAAUGGCGGGUUAGAGAUCACGGCCGGUGGUUGUGCCUAGAAGGUGCAUCAUGUACUGCAACCUCUUCCAGCUGUUGUUGUUGUUGAAAAUCUUGAACAGCCUCCAUUAGACCUUUUACUUGCUGCAUGAGGGCAGCAAACCAAAAAUUUACCAUCACCGACGGCCGUGAAGCACUUGGCUCCCUACGGGUUGUCGGAGGUGCAUCACGC